CAGCAGUGUGUUCAACCCAGAGCGAACUAUUCUUUCGUCUGUAUUGAAGAAUACUGUGUGCGGGACAUAGAAACAGCUUGUUCAAAUUUUGGAACGCUCCUUCGUUGGAGCAC
RNAcentral lists this small nuclear RNA (113 nucleotides) under Marchantia polymorpha subsp. ruderalis. RNAcentral's name for it is "U5 spliceosomal RNA". It matches the Rfam family "U5 spliceosomal RNA". Rfam says of the family: U5 RNA is a component of both types of known spliceosome. The precise function of this molecule is unknown, though it is known that the 5' loop is required for splice site selection and p220 binding, and that both the 3' stem-loop and the Sm site are important for Sm protein binding and cap methylation. The record is from Rfam by way of RNAcentral. Lineage: Eukaryota; Viridiplantae; Streptophyta; Marchantiopsida; Marchantiales; Marchantiaceae.